UACGAAGGGGGCUAGCGUUGCUCGGAAUUACUGGGCGUAAAGGGCGCGUAGGCGGAUAGUUUAGUCAGAGGUGAAAGCCCAGGGCUCAACCCUGGAAUUGCCUUUGAUACUGGCUAUCUUGAGUUCGGGAGAGGUGAGUGGAACUCCGAGUGUAGAGGUGAAAUUCGUAGAUAUUCGGAAGAACACCAGUGGCGAAGGCGACUCACUGGCCCGAUACUGACGCUGAGGCGUGAAAGCGUGGGGAGCAAACAGG
RNAcentral lists this ribosomal RNA (253 nucleotides) under uncultured bacterium. RNAcentral's name for it is "partial 16S ribosomal RNA". It matches the Rfam family "Bacterial small subunit ribosomal RNA", at positions 524 to 776 of the family's 1533-position model. The record is from RNAcentral.